This 432-nucleotide ribosomal RNA is filed under the name uncultured bacterium. Its description in RNAcentral is "partial 16S ribosomal RNA". It matches the Rfam family "Bacterial small subunit ribosomal RNA", at positions 29 to 507 of the family's 1533-position model. The record is from RNAcentral.
ACGAACGCUGGCGGCAUGCCUAACCCAUGCAAGUCGCACGAAGGCUUCGGCCUUAGUGGCGCACGGGUGCGUAACGCGUGGGAAUCUGCCCUUUGGUUCGGAAUAACAGCUGGAAACGGCUGCUAAUACCGGAUGAUGACGAAAGUCCAAAGAUUUAUCGCCAGAGGAUGAGCCCGCGUUGGAUUAGGUAGUUGGUGGGGUAAAGGCCUACCAAGCCGACGAUCCAUAGCUGGUCUGAGAGGAUGAUCAGCCACACUGGGACUGAGACACGGCCCAGACUCCUACGGGAGGCAGCAGUGGGGAAUAUUGGACAAUGGGCGCAAGCCUGAUCCAGCAAUGCCGCGUGAGUGAUGAAGGCCCUAGGGUUGUAAAGCUCUUUUACCCGGGAAGAUAAUGACUGUACCGGGAGAAUAAGCCCCGGCUAACUCCGUG